This 174-nucleotide ribosomal RNA is filed under the name Poecilimon veluchianus veluchianus. RNAcentral describes it as "5.8S ribosomal RNA". The stretch from base 10 to 164 matches the Rfam family "5.8S ribosomal RNA". From Rfam's summary of the family: 5.8S ribosomal RNA (5.8S rRNA) is a component of the large subunit of the eukaryotic ribosome. It is transcribed by RNA polymerase I as part of the 45S precursor that also contains 18S and 28S rRNA. Functionally, it is thought that 5.8S rRNA may be involved in ribosome translocation. The record is from RNAcentral. Lineage: Eukaryota; Metazoa; Arthropoda; Insecta; Orthoptera; Tettigoniidae.
CAAAAGUACAACCCUGAACGGUGGAUCACUCGGCUCGUGGGUYGAUGAAGAACGCAGCAAAUUGCGCGUCGACAUGUGAACUGCAGGACACAUGAACAUCGACAUUUCGAACGCACAUUGCGGUCCAUGGAUUCCGUUCCCGGACCACGCCUGGCUGAGGGUCGGUAGCUAAAA